AGUGAACGCUGGCGGUAGGCCUAACACAUGCAAGUCGAACGGCAGCACAGUAAGAGCUUGCUCUUACGGGUGGCGAGUGGCGGACGGGUGAGGAAUACAUCGGAAUCUACUUUUUCGUGGGGGAUAACGUAGGGAAACUUACGCUAAUACCGCAUACGACCUACGGGUGAAAGCAGGGGAUCUUCGGACCUUGCGCGAUUGAAUGAGCCGAUGUCGGAUUAGCUAGUUGGCGGGGUAAAGGCCCACCAAGGCGACGAUCCGUAGCUGGUCUGAGAGGAUGAUCAGCCACACUGGAACUGAGACACGGUCCAGACUCCUACGGGAGGCAGCAGUGGGGAAUAUUGGACAAUGGGCGCAAGCCUGAUCCAGCCAUACCGCGUGGGUGAAGAGGGCCUUCGGGUUGUAAAGCCCUGUUGUUGGGAAAGAAAAGCAGCAGGUUAAUACCCCGCUGUUCUGACGGUACCCAAAGAAUAAGCACCGGCUAACUUCGUG
This 492-nucleotide ribosomal RNA is filed under the name uncultured bacterium. RNAcentral's name for it is "partial 16S ribosomal RNA". It matches the Rfam family "Bacterial small subunit ribosomal RNA", at positions 29 to 507 of the family's 1533-position model. The record is from RNAcentral.